AGAGUUUGAUCCUGGCUCAGGAUGAGCGCUGGCGGCGUGCCUAAUACAUGCAAGUCGAGCGAACAGAUAAGGAGCUUGCUCCUUUGACGUUAGCGGCGGACGGGUGAGUAACACGUGGAUAACCUACCUAUAAGACUGGGAUAACUUCGGGAAACCGGAGCUAAUACCGGAUAACAUAUUGAACCGCAUGGUUCAAUAGUGAAAGGCGGCUUUGCUGUCACUUAUAGAUGGAUCCGCGCCGUAUUAGCUAGUUGGUAAGGUAACGGCUUACCAAGGCAACGAUACGUAGCCGACCUGAGAGGGUGAUCGGCCACACUGGAACUGAGACACGGUCCAGACUCCUACGGGAGGCAGCAGUAGGGAAUCUUCCGCAAUGGGCGAAAGCCUGACGGAGCAACGCCGCGUGAGUGAUGAAGGUCUUCGGAUCGUAAAACUCUGUUAUCAGGGAAGAACAAAUGUGUAAGUAACUGUGCACAUCUUGACGGUACCUGAUCAGAAAGCCACGGCUAACUACGUGCCAGCAGCCGCGGUAAUACGUAGGUGGCAAGCGUUAUCCGGAAUUAUUGGGCGUAAAGCGCGCGUAGGCGGUUUUUUAAGUCUGACGUGAAAGCCCACGGCUCAACCGUGGAGGGUCAUUGGAAACUGGAAAACUUGAGUGCAGAAGAGGAAAGUGGAAUUCCAUGUGUAGCGGUGAAAUGCGCAGAGAUAUGGAGGAACACCAGUGGCGAAGGCGACUUUCUGGUCUGUAACUGACGCUGAUGUGCGAAA
This 768-nucleotide ribosomal RNA is filed under the name Staphylococcus sp. DLS6. RNAcentral describes it as "bacterial SSU rRNA". It matches the Rfam family "Bacterial small subunit ribosomal RNA", at positions 8 to 758 of the family's 1533-position model. The record is from RNAcentral. Lineage: Bacteria; Bacillati; Bacillota; Bacilli; Caryophanales; Staphylococcaceae.